This 609-nucleotide long non-coding RNA is filed under the name Parus major (Great Tit). RNAcentral's name for it is "lncRNA (ENSPMJG00000009698.1)". Lineage: Eukaryota; Metazoa; Chordata; Aves; Passeriformes; Paridae. The record is from RNAcentral.
CAGCACAGACUGAUGAACGUGCAUGUUCUCUGCUGCUUGUGAUGUGGUCUCAGGAAGAAAAUGUAUCUUCCAGCCACAAGGGACUUGUUCACAUUGUCACAAGGACCCAUCACAAAUAUCCUUCCAUUGAUUUGAGCAGUCUCUCUUCUGAUUGUCAUUGAAUUUUAAGUAGCAAAUCCCUGGGUGGAUCCUUCAUCCCUCCCUUUGUUUGGAAAGGCAGGAAAAUGGGAUCUGCUGUGUAUCUAACAUAUUCAUGUGGAGGGUUUCCUCUGGGGGCUCUCCAGAGCUGAAGACUCCAUGCAAGGGUUUCUGCAAGGCUUUCAUCCAGGUGAAUUUGGGCAAGUCUUUCUUUGCACUAGCAUUAUCCCAUCUGGCUUCAAAUUCAGGAUGUGAACACUGAAACUUGAUACUUGGGCUAGAAACCUGAACUGGAACUUAAAUCCUGCAUGGUCCCUCCCAGGCAUUCCCUGCUAUUGAUGAAGGAAUGGCAGAAUGGAUACAACCAUAUGAGAGGCAGCAAGUUACUCCUCCUCUGAACACUUAAUUUUGCUCUGUGUUGUGCUCGCUAUCACAUUUAAAUAUAAUAAAUACAUAGUUAUUCCUGAGGCA